GACGAACGCUGGCGGCGUGCUUAACACAUGCAAGUCGAACGAGACUUCGGUCUAGUGGCGAACGGGUGAGUAACACGUGGGCAACCUGCCCCGAGCUCUGGGAUAACUCCGGGAAACCGGGGCUAAUACCGGAUAUGACCUGGGAAGACAUCUUCUUUGGUGGAAAGUUUUUCGGCUCGGGAUGGGCCCGCGGCCUAUCAGCUUGUUGGUGGGGUAAUGGCCUACCAAGGCGACGACGGGUAGCCGGCCUGAGAGGGCGACCGGCCACACUGGGACUGAGACACGGCCCAGACUCCUACGGGAGGCAGCAGUGGGGAAUAUUGCGCAAUGGGCGAAAGCCUGACGCAGCGACGCCGCGUGAGGGAUGAAGGCCUUCGGGUUGUAAACCUCUUUCAGCAGGGACGAAGCGAAAGUGACGGUACCUGCAGAAGAAGCACCGGCCAACUACGUGCCAGCCGCCGCCGUAACAC
RNAcentral lists this ribosomal RNA (470 nucleotides) under uncultured bacterium. Its description in RNAcentral is "bacterial SSU rRNA". It matches the Rfam family "Bacterial small subunit ribosomal RNA", at positions 28 to 526 of the family's 1533-position model. The record is from RNAcentral.